AUGCAGCCCUGCCACAGAGCGCUGCUGUUUAGCCAUUGUUUAAAAUGUCACGUAGUCAAAACGCCCACUUUUCAAAGGUCUCCUCAGGGCAUGACGGGAGGAGAUCAAGUGUCUGGCAGCGAGGACGCAGCUGGGACAGACAGGAGCACGAACACACAGCUACCCGCACUGGGGUAUCGAUGGGCACGCAGCCAGCACUGCCGUCGUGCAGCUCCCCUUCUCGGCAAGGAAGGAUGCCAGGCAUUUGAGAGCAGCCUACGAAGAAAAGAGAGUUCAGAAACUACUUUGGAAAAUGCUUUCUUAACGCCUAGUGCAGUUACAUAGAUUGAAAGGUGAAGUUCUCCCAAACAAAACAGAAAUUUUCAAAAAUGUUUUGAUUCCUCCCUGCCACGAUUCUUGCUUGGAAGCACGAGAGGUGACACAGAAAUCCCAGCUGAUUCAGUUCCUGGCAGUGGUGGUGAAACACACAUCGCACCUGCCCUUUCAUUUCUGCUGAUUCCCGAGUGACUGCCCGUGCCCUUGAGCAGCAGGUACGUGCGGCCCCCAUACCUGGCGCUCUGCUAACGCUCAUCAGUAUUCAUGAUGCACCUCCAACAACAUACUUAGAUGACUAUGGAGAGCCUCGCCUCAAGCCUGCUCUCUCCUGCUAGUCAUAAUGCAGCACCACGAAUAACUUGGCAGUUGGCAGUUCCUCUGCCUAUGCCUCACAAAAAGUUGCCUCUGAUCACAAAACAGGCUCUUCUAUAUGCACUAUAGAAAGGCCAAAGAUAUUAUGGUUG
This 779-nucleotide long non-coding RNA is filed under the name Anser brachyrhynchus (Pink-footed goose). Its description in RNAcentral is "lncRNA (ENSABRG00000022032.1)". The record is from RNAcentral. Lineage: Eukaryota; Metazoa; Chordata; Aves; Anseriformes; Anatidae.